RNAcentral lists this ribosomal RNA (492 nucleotides) under uncultured bacterium. Its description in RNAcentral is "partial 16S ribosomal RNA". It matches the Rfam family "Bacterial small subunit ribosomal RNA", at positions 29 to 507 of the family's 1533-position model. The record is from RNAcentral.
AGUGAACGCUGGCGGUAGGCCUAACACAUGCAAGUCGAACGGCAGCACAGUAAGAGCUUGCUCUUACGGGUGGCGAGUGGCGGACGGGUGAGGAAUACAUCGGAAUCUACUUUUUCGUGGGGGAUAACGUAGGGAAACUUACGCUAAUACCGCAUACGACCUACGGGUGAAAGCAGGGGAUCUUCGGACCUUGCGCGAUUGAAUGAGCCGAUGCCGGAUUAGCUAGUUGGCGGGGUAAAGGCCCACCAAGGCGACGAUCCGUAGCUGGUCUGAGAGGAUGAUCAGCCACACUGGAACUGAGACACGGUCCAGACUCCUACGGGAGGCAGCAGUGGGGAAUAUUGGACAAUGGGCGCAAGCCUGAUCCAGCCAUACCGCGUGGGUGAAGAAGGCCUUCGGGUUGUAAAGCCCUUUUGUUGGGAAAGAAAAGAAGCAGGUUAAUACCCCGCUGUUCUGACGGUACCCAAAGAAUAAGCACCGGCUAACUUCGUG